GGCGUCAAAGUGGACGUUAUCCAUGUAAGUAACUAAAAACCAACUGUUUUUUCUUUGAAUUUUAGGUAAGGGUUUUAUGAUUUUCGGAUAAUGUUGUGCCGCACAGUGACAGUGCUGUGUGUCCCAUGUGCGACCCAAAUCUCGUUACUUUGACUGGUCUUCCUUGCUGAUUAGUGAUUUGUUUUGGUCGGCAAGUUAUUACAAUUUCAUUGUACCACGUUAUACUCUCUCCCUCGCUCUCUCUCACACCUGUCACCGUCUGGUGUCUAGUCUCUUCUAGUGCUAAAUCUC
Molecule: unclassified non-coding RNA, 291 nt
Filed under: Hevea brasiliensis (rubber tree)
Lineage: Eukaryota; Viridiplantae; Streptophyta; Magnoliopsida; Malpighiales; Euphorbiaceae
Source: RNAcentral